RNAcentral lists this non-coding RNA (31 nucleotides) under Homo sapiens (human). The record is from RNAcentral. Lineage: Eukaryota; Metazoa; Chordata; Mammalia; Primates; Hominidae.
UUCAAGUCUAGUAGUUCAAAGGCAGUUGGAG